Molecule: long non-coding RNA, 2424 nt
Organism: Alligator mississippiensis (American alligator)
Lineage: Eukaryota; Metazoa; Chordata; Crocodylia; Alligatoridae
Exons: 2
Source: RefSeq, a predicted model, not a curated record
GGUGAGCAGUGGCAGGUGAGGAGAUCCCCACGUGGCUUCUCUGCUCCCUGCCAUGCUGGGUCAUGGGGGAGGGAAGCAGGACAAAAGGGAACAGCAGCAAGCAGGCCUGCUGUUCCCUGCCAUGGUGGGUAGAGCAGCUGUCCACCACUGCGCACACCUCCAGCAGGACUGGGGGCCACCUCCGACUGGGGGAGCAGGGGCUGUAUGGCAGCAGGGGAAGGAGAGUUACAAGCAGGGCCAGGGGGUUGGCAAGACGAUGCAUGGCCAUGGAAAACUGUGGUUACUCAAACCUGUAUACCAUUGUAGCCAAAAUGGUAUACAGAAUAUUAACUGUGGAUACUCAAAACCGUGGUUGGCAAAACCGUGGUUGGCGAGGGAAACCUGUACUCAUAUCUAAGACAAGGGGCUUUUUUCCCCCUGUUGAAUGGAGGAAAAAACUUGUCUUGAAUUUGAGUAAAUGCUGUAUUACCAAAAACAAAACAACUAAACCCUGUUUUAUACGAUGUCUGUGGUUGUACAUUUAAAAAGUUUGGAGCACCAGCCUGUACUGCUACUUAAACAGUUUCAGUACAGGUUCAGGGCAAUAUACUGCUGACAGUUGUUAUCAGCAAUAGCUAUGUUGCCUAGUGUAGACUGGCCUAACUAAUCAGGUAAAUAUUAUAGAUAAGCUGAUGAGUCUUUCUUACAUCCAGUAUCUUUUGAAUCAUCAUAUCAGAUCAGUACUGUAUUUCCUGUUUCCUGCCUCCAACAGUGGCCAGUAUGAGUUAACUAGAAGAACAUGCACUAAACCCUAUAGCAAGCAGUACUGAGAACUGCCCACAGAAAUUAUUUCUUCCUCAACUUCCCAAAUCUCCUACCAUCUUUCUGACUUAAGGUCUGUCUGUAGAAGAUGCUGAUUAAAGUAAUUUAGUAAUUUUCCAAUGAAACACAUGUUAAUUGGAAGAUGCUGACUUGGUGAAGCUGAAAAGUUCCUCAGUAACAUCUCGUUUUGAUGAACUUAUGAUGAAACAGAAUUUUUGGGAAUGUUGGCAUUCUGGUGUUUAUGACUGUUUUAACCCUACCACACAGACUGCCUUAGGGAAUAAGGAGCCCAGAAGCUUUAGCUUUAUGGCAGAUUAAGUAUUUCUGUUUUGUUUUAUUGAAUCUGUUAUUCUGGUCACACAUCCCUAAUGCUUUGUUCCACUGCCAUGCUACAUUUUUUCAGUUGUUUUUUUCCUGGCACUCUGUGUGUGUGUGUGUGUGUGUGACAAAAGGCAAUGGAAUUCUAGGAUUUAGUGUCAAACUAAUGAUUCCAGCCAUUUUUCUUGUUUCACCCCAUCAUUCUUUUGUUUCUACAAGCUACACCCAUUUCCAAGAGCAGUCAGGCAGCAUUCAAGAAACAUUGGUAAGCACUGAUAUUGUCAUGAUGAUAAAUGUAAACAGGCUACUGCAAGCAUCUAUAAACUUGUAGACUGGCUCAGACCCUAGUUGUAAGGUGUACGUAGACAAAAUAAUAUUUCCCGUUUAUGUUGAUGCCCCUGCAUUUGUGUUUGCACAACCUGGGAUUUUCUGCCACUCUAAAGUCCAUUUAGCACCUUAAACUAACACUACUUGGAGAUGUGUUAAUUUGCUGUGCUUUCCAGUUACACCGUUCCAACUGUGGAUUUGUUUGUGCCAACAGCCAGGGACUCCAAAGACUUCUAAUGAAUCCCCUUCACCAUGAGGGGGCACUGUGUUCCAGUCUUUAGCCAGUAGAUGCUGCUGUGUGUUCUUUUUUGCCCUCCUUCACUCCUCACUCCUCCCUCACAGCACGCAGUUUAGGUCGGGACCGGUCCACUCAGACCAAUUAUUAUUUUAAAAUGGGGGAGGCCAAUAAUCCCUUAAUUUUCUACCCCCUUUUAAUUUUUCCACCCCCCCGCCACCUAUAAUGUAUGUCCUCCCCCCCGCCCAUGUACCCUCCUAUCCUGUCCCCCCAUGUAGCCUCCACCUGCAACCCCCUCACCCCACGUCAUGUGCUGCCACUACAGUGGACAUAGCUCCCAAUGACAGCUGCAGCAUCACCAUAAUGGUAAGUUUUUUGCAAGUAGUUUGAAACUUUGGAGUGAGUGAUUACAUGACUUCCUUCAAUAUUGCAAACCUUCUGAACUUCAUCACAUUCCAUUUCAGAACCAUGACCAAAAGUCCAGGGGCAGGACGCUGCCUGCCAGACCUGACGCCCAGGUUAAGCAACAUCCCAGGUGAUAUGUAGAAAACUUUCACGGGCGGAACUCGCAGUGGGUGGCAACCAGCCCAGUAAUGAAUGAAGAUAGUGAAGAGGAGAGUAGAGUGAAAUAUCUUCAGCUUUUUAAUUUUUUUUUACAUUUUGUAUAUAUUUUAUAUUGCUAAGUUGUAUAUAGUUAUUGUUAAGCUGCAGCAUUUUCAGUAAAGUGUUUUAUUUUUGCUCUA